RNAcentral lists this ribosomal RNA (445 nucleotides) under uncultured bacterium. RNAcentral's name for it is "bacterial SSU rRNA". It matches the Rfam family "Bacterial small subunit ribosomal RNA", at positions 337 to 797 of the family's 1533-position model. The record is from RNAcentral.
CCCUACGGGUGGCUGCAGUGGGGAAUAUUGCGCAAUGGGCGAAAGCCUGACGCAGCGACGCCGCGUGGGUGAUGAAGUUUUUCGAAACGUAAAACCCUGUCGGGAGGGACGAAGCUCUGACGGUACCUCCAAAGGAAGCCCCGGCUAACUCCGUGCCAGCAGCCGCGGUAAUACGGGGGGGGCUAGCGUUGUUCGGAAUUACUGGGCGUAAAGGGCGCGUAGGCGGCUGAGCAGGUCCGGUGUGAAAUCCCUCGGCGUAACGGAGGAAGUGCGCUGGAAACCGUUCGGCUAGAGUACAGGAGAGGAGGGCGGAAUUCUCGGUGGAGCGGUGAAAUGCGUAGAUAUCGAGAAGAACACCGGUGGCGAAGGCGGCCCUCUGGACUGUCACUGACGCUGAGGCGCGAAAGCGUGGGGAGCGAACGGGAUUAGAUACCCCUGUAGUCGC